RNAcentral lists this ribosomal RNA (840 nucleotides) under uncultured eukaryote. RNAcentral's name for it is "bacterial SSU rRNA". It matches the Rfam family "Eukaryotic small subunit ribosomal RNA", at positions 21 to 904 of the family's 1831-position model. The record is from RNAcentral.
AGUCAUAUGCUUGUCUCGCAGCUUAAGCCAUGCAUGUCUAGGUAUAAAUGCUUUAUAGUGAAACUGCGAAUGGCUCAUUAAAACAGUCAUUGUUUGCUUGGAAGGAAUCCGCCUUUCGGAUAUCUGCGGCAAUUCUACAGCUAAUACGUAACGGCUUUUUCGGAAGCGUUGCAUGUUAAUUAGGACGAUCGGUGGGGGUUGCUCUACCUUGAUGGAAUACCUUCAUGCGUGAAUCGUGUGUUUAUACGAAAGUCCAUCGAAGUUUCUGACCUAUCAGGCUCCGACGGUUGGGUAUUGGCCAACUGUGCCUAUAACGGGUGACGGGGGAUUAGGGUUUGGUUCCGGAGAGGGAGCAUGAGAGAUGGCUACCACAUCUAAGGAAGGCAGCAGGCGCGCAAAUUACCUAUCUUUAACACGGAGAGGUAGUAAACAGAAAUAAUGACGCAUGAACUUUAUUGUGCGAUCGGAAUGGAUAGCUUGUAAACACGGCUAUGAAAUCAACUAGAGGGCAAGUCUGGUGCCAGCAGCCGCGGUAAUUCCAGCUCUAAUAGCGUAUAUUAAAGUUGUUGCAGUUAAAACGUUCGUAGUCUACCUCUGUCUGCGCGGUUGGUUGGGGGCCUAUGGCGUUCCAAGCAGUUCCGACAGAGAGUAUGCAGCCUUCGCCGUACAUGUUUUAUGCAUUGACGUAGGUUGUAUUGUACUUUGAGUGAAUCGACGUGUCUCACGCAGAUAAUGUCUUGGACGAUCUACCAUGGUAUACUAUAGUUUGAAUAUGCCACGUGGUUGUUUCGAGUGCAUUCUACUGCCGAAAGAACGGUUGAGGGCAUUCGUAUUCAACUG